Molecule: ribosomal RNA, 253 nt
Filed under: uncultured bacterium
Lineage: Bacteria
Description: partial 16S ribosomal RNA
Rfam family: Bacterial small subunit ribosomal RNA
Source: RNAcentral
UACGUAGGGGCCUAGCGUUGUCCGGAUUUAUUGGGCGUAAAGAGCGUGUAGGCGGCCAGACAGGUCUGCUGUGAAAACUCGAGGCUCAACCUCGAGACGCCGGUGGAAACCGUUUGGCUAGAGUCCGGAAGAGGAGAGUGGAAUUCCUGGUGUAGCGGUGAAAUGCGCAGAUAUCAGGAAGAACACCCGUGGCUAAGGCGGCUCUCUAGUACGGUACUGACGCUGAGACGCGAAAGCGUGGGGAGCGAACAGG